GCCGGGUCACAUUUUAAAAUUUACACUUCAUUUUUACGCAUGAUUAUAAAACUAUUCAAAACAUAACCUUUAAAAAGGUAACAGACAUGUAGUAUGCUUACAGACUUCAGGCUCUUGUUUCUAUGCAUGGAAAGGUCAAUUAUCCAUAUAUACUGAACGGCAUUAGAAACGCAACACUCAUUUUGUUAAUUUUUCUUACCAAAUCUUGUUUGAUUUUCUUACAACUACUUUGCAUGCUUAUCAUACUUCUUUCUCCGUGUUAAAAAUCAAAAUCUAACUUACCUGUGGUUAUUGAGCAUACCGAGUUUUUGAAGUCGCACGAAUUUCUUAAAGCGAAAUUUUGGACCCAUGAAGAUUGUUUCAGUUGUUUUGCUUUGUGAAACAGUUCUUUCAAUACUUUGCCUCACUUAAACCAUUUUAAAAAUGUUGCAUCUCUAUUUUGC
Molecule: long non-coding RNA, 443 nt
Filed under: Mytilus galloprovincialis (Mediterranean mussel)
Lineage: Eukaryota; Metazoa; Mollusca; Bivalvia; Mytilida; Mytilidae
Source: RNAcentral